GCCGCAGCCAGGGGAAGGAUAUGCGGAGGGCUCUAAGUCAAAGCGGGCGUUUUUGCGGGUGUAGCCACUGCCGCGCCUGGGCCUGCAGCCCCUCCCUCCCUGUCUCCUGUUAGGAGGGGCAGAUUUUCAGGUGGCCGGGACAGGUGAAGGCAGAGAGGAGUGGCUGUCCACCUGGGGAAGAAAAUGACGCUGAAGCUGCGCUACUUCCAGGACACGCUUGUUUGCUGCACCUCCCAGCCUUCCCUACCUCUACUUUUCUGAAAAUUGAACUGCAAAUGAAGGAUGGUGGAGCCGACCACCAUUUAUACCUCUCUUUUAUCACCCCAUUUAGAACAUACCUCGGGCCAUCAGGAAGCUUUCAGAGCCAACUGUGGAGGGCGACUCAGGUGUAGGCUCUGGACACAGCCAGUUUCACGUGACGGCUGGGAUGCCCAGGGGCAAGAGCCCAGCCAGGCCUUCUGCAUGUUUUAAUGACUUACACUGGGGUGCAGUGGCAUUGGCAGUGGUCACUCUGCUUACCUGCCCUCCCUCUGGCUAGACCACUUUCUUCCAGAGAAAAGGGGCUCUAUGCACAUCGAUGGGGCCUUGGUUCCCAGCAAACAAAGGGCCUAGUCUUGUUAGAAUAACUUAAGAAAACUUACAGCACCUGGAAAAAACUGAAACUCUCUCUCCACCACCUGAGAUGGGGUAGAGAGGGAGAUCAGUACUGAUGUGUCCAUCAUGCAGUUUGCAAACCCAGGAUGGGGGAAAAAAAAAUCUGGGCCACGAGAUUCAGAGUUUUGCUUUAUUAGGCGUCUGUGAAGACAAGAGAGUUUGCAGACACAAUCCCGUCUGGUGGUGAACUGCUGCAAAGUUCUGUGAAGUUUGAAUUUAUCUUGUAGUGAACGAGACCCCAGUAGCUGAUAUUUUAGAAUACUGGUCCAUAUUUCAAGCAGAUGAGAGGUGUGACAUUAUGGCCAACAACUUUUAUAUUAGCCAUCCACUUAAGCCGUUUCCCAGCAUACAUAUGCAGCUUAAUCACAGCUAUACAUCUCUACAAUGUGAAAUUCGAUCUUUGACUAAUAAUGCAUUCUGACUCCUGUUUACAUUGGUGCAUGCGAUUCUUUGCUACCCUGGCAAUUAACCAGACCUGGACUCUAAAAGCUAAACUUGGUCUAAAUAACAUUCUAAGGGUAAGGCAACCUCUAUAAUCUGGACUCAGCCAUCAUUUUGCAAAAACAGUUGUAUGGUUCCUCCUUUUUCCCCUCCUGUCUGUAACUUGUCUGUUACUCAGCAUUUAUUCAUGCCUGCUGUGUACGGAAAGGGCAGUUACAAAGGAAAGCCUUGAUGAUUCUGCUUCCAAGAAACGUGAAGAUCAGAUAAUAUGCCAGGGACAAUUGAGUAAUGGGUCAAGACAACAGGCCUUGUAGAUAUUUUCUAAGGUUAGAAAAAUGUGUUCAAGUGUACUUAUCCAGUGAUCUUAUUCUAGAAUAUUCCAGUGGGGGUAGGGAAGGAGGGAUGGAUUUGGGGGUUUCAUUUAAGGACUCUGACAACUGGGGCUGCAGCUCUGUGGCCAGAAGAUAAAAUUAUCAUCCUCUCCAUCACCUAUCUGCCAACACUGCAGAUUUCUAUCUGCUCAUUUAAGAGAAACAGUACACAGGGAGAUAGCAUUAAUGCAAGGCAGGAAAGGCUUUACAUUAGCCCAAAAAAGAGGGGCUUGACCAUGUUACUCACACUUACACUUAGCCCAGCAGAAAAGCUGGGCUUAUGUACCACUUGGUUUCUUUCUUUGACCCUAGCAUCCCGAAAACAUCACACACAGUGGACCACGCUUUGCCCUCAGAGUGACUGCUCUGACCCGGAAGGAGAGGUCAACGACCCCUCAGGACACAAAGGGUUUCUUAGGUUGUUCUGCACAGUCACAUGGCUUCCAGAACCAGAACGUUCAGCUCUUAAAGUCUGCACAGAAGAACUGAUAGAAUCUGCUCCUUUCAAUGGAAUCUGUGACUGUUUGGGAAGGAUGUGCAUGGAGAAGGGCCUGAUGAGGCUCCUGAUCCAGGCGGUCCAUGUGCGUUCAGUGUGUUCGGACCCUAGGCACCUCUGUCUAUUGCUUGGUCUUGCGUACAUAGUCCAUAGCUUGGCAUCAGCACAAAUCGAUGCUUAGUGAGCACAAUUAAGAAACCAAACUAUGGAAAAUUAAGGACAGUAACAAAAGUAUCAUCAACAAAAAUCAAGCAUUUUCCUCUUUUUGAAACAAGAAAAGCGCAUCGUAGAAACAAAGAUUCUGUACAAUAUUCUAACAUUAUAUGUACAUAAAAUUAUAUUACUCAUAA
Molecule: long non-coding RNA, 2312 nt
Organism: Pan troglodytes (chimpanzee)
Lineage: Eukaryota; Metazoa; Chordata; Mammalia; Primates; Hominidae
Exons: 3
Source: RefSeq, a predicted model, not a curated record